RNAcentral lists this long non-coding RNA (2459 nucleotides) under Canis lupus familiaris (dog). RNAcentral describes it as "lncRNA (ENSCAFG00000052004.1)". Lineage: Eukaryota; Metazoa; Chordata; Mammalia; Carnivora; Canidae. The record is from RNAcentral.
UUUUCAAGAUUCUGUCUUUUGAAUUUGACUCUGAUGUGUGCAGGUGUGACUAUCCUUAAGUUUAUUCUAUUUAGAAUUUGUUGAGCUUCUUGGUUGUGUAGAUUGUUUUAAAACAAAUUUGAGAAGUGUUCAGUCACUAUUUCUUCAAAUAUUUUUUCUGUCCCUUUCCUCUCCUUCUGGGACUCCCAUUAUAUGUAUGUUGGUAUAUUUAGUGGUACCCCACAAGUCUUUAAGACUGCUCAUUUUUCUUCAUUCCUUUUUUUUUUCCUGUGUCUCAGACUGGGUGAUCUCAAUUGACUUAUCUUCAAGGUCACUUAUUACAUCUUCUGUUAGUUCAAAUCUGUUGUUGAAGCCACCUAGUGAAUGUUUCAAUUUAGUUAUUAUAAAUAACUAAUAAGCCUAAUUUAGUUUUAACUCCAGAAUUUAUAUUUCAUUCUUUUUAAUAAUUUUUCUCUUUAUUGAUAUUUUCUAUUUUUUAUACUUCAACUCUUUAUAGAUGUUUUCCUUUAAUGCUUUGAACAUAUUUAUAAAUAACUGAUUUAAUAUCUUUGUCUGAUAAAUGUAAUAUCUGGGCUGCCUCGGGAGUGGUUCCUAUUGAUUAUUUUUUUACCCUGUGUAUUGGCCAUAUUUUCCUGUUUUUCUGUGUGUCUCACAAUUUUUUUACUGAAAACUAGACAUUUCAAAUAAUAUAAGGUAGCAACUCUGCAAAUCAGAUCCCACUACCACCACUCUCACACACACACUACUAGGUUUAUUGUCUUUGUUGCUGUUUACUUAGUGGCUUUCCCAGACUAAUUCUGUAAAAUCUGUAUUCUUGGUCAUGCCCAACCACGGAAGUCUCUGUUUAGCUUGCUUCAUAGUCAAACAAUGAUUAGACAGAGAUUUCCUUAAAUUUCUUGAACCAAUAUGUCUCCUAGACUUUACCAAGGGACUUUAGUGUAUGUGUGGGCAUACCUUCAACAAUCUGGCAGGCAGUUUAAAAAUCUACUUAAACCUUCAGUUUCUGUUUGCACAGAGGCUCAAGAUCAGCUAGUGGCAGCUAGUAGUCAGAACUUUCUCAGGUCUUUCCUGGCACAUGCAAAGCCAUGCACAUGAAUAUAGCCUUCUAGGUACCCAAGAACAUGUCAGAGCUUUUCAAAAUCCCUAUGGGCAGCACAUGCUCCAGUGUUCCUUUAAUUUUUUUAGUCAGCCUUUUAUUAACCCCAAUGGAUAUUGCCACCUCAGGUGGUUGGAAUGUUAAACAACUGCCAUUGAUUGUUUUGGACAAACAUGUUGGGAAUAAGGCCAUUCAUGAAGAGCAAGGCAGGUCAAUUAAUGACAAAGCCUGAGACUGGAGCUUUUCCAGAGAACUGCUAAAUAAAUCAAAUAAUGAUAUUUCUCUGCCUUUGAAAAGGCAGAGAAGUUUGAAAAAAGUGACAGGACAAAAGAAAAACCUAUUUCGAAGAGGCAAAAGUCACAGGCAGUUAUAGUCUGGUAAGAAGCAAGGCACCCAGUCCAACAUUUCAAAGUAGGGAAAAAUCUUUAAAAUUAAAAUAAGCAGUAAGAUCUAAGGCCAGUCAGAGAACAGAAUAAAUUUGGAAAAAAAUAAAAUACUUACAGAAAAAAAAAACAAAACAAGAAAAUUAAGAAAAGUGUAAUGAAAAGAUCCAUGCAAAGUCUUAACUUUAGUUUUUAAAGUGAGGGGUGCUAGUGUGACCUUAGUCCUAGCACUGUCACUAAUAUGCUGUAUGGGUGUAACUAAACUGCCAGCCCUUAGUUUUCUAAGGAAGAAUUGGAGUUUGGAGUUUGUUUCCCAAAUUUUAAUUUUUGUCUACAACCUUCCUGAUUUUUAGCCUCCCAUAUCUAUAUAUCACUUUGUCAAUUUAAUGUUUUAAAUGCUCAUUAAAAGGAUGCCUGGGUGGCUCAGCAGCUGAGUGUCUGCCUUUGGCUCAGGUCCUGAUCCCGGGUCUGGGGAUCAAGUCCCGCAUCAGGAUCCCUGCAAGGAACCCAUUUCUCCCUCUGCCUAUGUCUCUGCUUCUCUCUGUGUGUCUUUCAUGAAUAAAUAAAUAAAAUCCUUUAAAAAAUGCUCAUUAAAAGAAACCACAAACCAUUAAAAUAGAAAUGCUCCUCCAUGUACCAACUACCUCACUUUGGUAGACAAUGGACUUGAUGUGUAAGGUUCUUUCCACUUCUGUGAUUACGUGGAUGGUUUUUCCUCUGUUCUUUCUAUUCAGGUUGGAAGAUUACCUGUUAGUAGUGUGUCUCUCAGAGGACAAGGUAAAUUCGGAGUUUAGGAUGGACCAGUUUGUGAUUAAACCGUGUUGGCAGCAGCCACUGAGUAACUAAUCCAUGGUGGUGGUAAAAAGUGGGUUGAGACACCCCAGAGCUGACAUCUGGUACAGAGCUGUUUAUGAUUUCAUAGAGUAUUUGAAAUACAUUAAUAAUUCCAUGUACUAGAGCUGAACCAAUUCUGAGAGAAC